GGGACUAUAGCUCAGUUGGUUAGAGCGCACCCCUGAUAAGGGUGAGGUCCCAGGUUCAAGUCCUGGUAGUCCCACCA
RNAcentral lists this transfer RNA (77 nucleotides) under Caminibacter profundus. Its description in RNAcentral is "tRNA-Ile". It matches the Rfam family "tRNA". Rfam says of the family: Transfer RNA (tRNA) molecules are approximately 80 nucleotides in length. Their secondary structure includes four short double-helical elements and three loops (D, anti-codon, and T loops). Lineage: Bacteria; Pseudomonadati; Campylobacterota; Epsilonproteobacteria; Nautiliales; Nautiliaceae. The record is from RNAcentral. RNAcentral also lists the same sequence under 1 other name.